CGGAUGGAAGAGAGUUCAGCUUAGUGGCGAACGGGUGAGUAACACGUGAGCAACCUGCCUUUCAGUGGGGGACAACAUUUGGAAACGAAUGCUAAUACCGCAUAAGACCACAGUGUCGCAUGGCACAGGGGUCAAAGGAUUUAUCCGCUGAAAGAUGGGCUCGCGUCCGAUUAGCUAGAUGGUGAGGUAACGGCCCACCAUGGCGACGAUCGGUAGCCGGACUGAGAGGUUGAACGGCCACAUUGGGACUGAGACACGGCCCAGACUCCUACGGGAGGCAGCAGUGGGGAAUAUUGCACAAUGGGGGAAACCCUGAUGCAGCGACGCCGCGUGGAGGAAGAAGGUCUUCGGAUUGUAAACUCCUGUCCCAGGGGACGAUAAUGACGGUACCCUGGGAGGGAGCACCGGCUAACUACGUGCCAGCAGCCGCGGUAAAACGUAGGGUGCAAGCGUUGUCCGGAAUUACUGGGUGUAAAGGGAGCGCAGGCGGAUUGGCAAGUUGGGAGUGAAAUCUAUGGGCUCAACCCAUAAAUUGCUUUCAAAACUGUCAGUCUUGAGUGGUGUAGAGGUAGGCGGAAUUCCCGGUGUAGCGGUGGAAUGCGUAGAUAUCGGGAGG
This 616-nucleotide ribosomal RNA is filed under the name uncultured Lachnospiraceae bacterium. Its description in RNAcentral is "bacterial SSU rRNA". It matches the Rfam family "Bacterial small subunit ribosomal RNA", at positions 67 to 704 of the family's 1533-position model. Lineage: Bacteria; Bacillati; Bacillota; Clostridia; Lachnospirales; Lachnospiraceae. The record is from RNAcentral.